AUGCCGGCGGCAGGUGCCCUGGUCGUGUACAGGGCGGUGUUCGCCGCGCUCGGCUGCCUCAUGGUGGGCACCCUGGUGUACACCUGCAUCACCGACGGCUCGCCGUUCCGCGCCGAGCUGCUGACACCGUGGAUGAUGACAACACUGGUUGAUUUUUAUGUAAAUAUAGCAGCGAUUUCGACUUGGGUCGUCUACAAGGAAGGAAAUUGGAUUAGUUCUAUCUUCUGGGUAGUACUGUUGGUUUGUUUCGGCAGUGCCACUACAUGUGCUUAUAUUGUUAGCAAGUUAUUUGAGAUAACAUCUUCAGGGCUUUCCCAAAAUCCGCUUGAUCUUUUGUUGCUCAGGCAAGAUAAUCUACCCGAAAGGAAGUGUUCUUUUGUCGUCAUCGGGAGAACUAUUUUCAGCAUUUUGGGCAUACUCAUGGCUGCACUUGUCACGUAUACUGUCAUUACAGAUGGACUGCCUUUCAGGAAGGAUUUGUUGACACCGUGGAUGGCUGCAACCUUAAUUGACUUCUAUAUAAAUGUCUUUGCAAUAUCGGUAUGGGUUGUUCACAGGGAGUCGACUUGGAUCUCAGCAGUCAUUUGGAUAUGCUUGUUGAUAUGCUUUGGAAGCAUCACGACUUGUGGGUACAUUGUGGUUCAACUUCUACAAGUGUCAUACCAGGACCCAGUCUACCAUCUGCUACUGAAUUCCCAUAGCAAGUAUGGAGCUGCACCCUCACAAUCUGAAAACUCAUUGAAGGGGGAUAUGUUCUUGGUACACAAUAAUGUCCCCUCUGUUCAUAAAGGUGCCACAAUAAAGGGUAUACCAGAGUAG
Molecule: ribosomal RNA, 819 nt
Filed under: Triticum aestivum (bread wheat)
Lineage: Eukaryota; Viridiplantae; Streptophyta; Magnoliopsida; Poales; Poaceae
Description: partial small subunit ribosomal RNA
Source: RNAcentral